CCACGAACUCACUUAUACAAUACAAAACUUUAUUUUCAAUGGUAUUUAGAUUUCCUUAUGCACUAAAAUUCAAUUUUAUUGCCUCCUUUUGUGUAACUAUAUUCUCAUAAAAAUACGGCUAAAAUUUACUCUCUUUUUUUAAUUUUAAUCAAAUAUACAAUAUUUACAUUGCACAAUUUCAGAUUCAUACUAAACUGCAUCUUUACUAUUGAAAAUAAUAUAUAAUACGUAGUAGUCUUCGAAUAUAGAAUUCAGCAAACUUAAAAAAAAAAUUCUUAAGAAAAAAACUGUAGAUGAUUAAAAUUAUUUUCAAACUUCUCUAACUCUAUUCAAAUAUAUUUUUUGAAUACAAUACUUUCAAACUUCUCAUAAGUUUCUUCUUCUAGUGAAC
This 391-nucleotide long non-coding RNA is filed under the name Solanum tuberosum (potato). Its description in RNAcentral is "long non-coding RNA (STUB_LNC004510)". Lineage: Eukaryota; Viridiplantae; Streptophyta; Magnoliopsida; Solanales; Solanaceae. The record is from RNAcentral.